GCCAAUGCAAAUGCAUAAAUUGAUGAAUGUCGAAUAAAAACUGCUGCAUUGGUGUCGGUAAACUUCAAAUCUGAAGUUUUGACCUACAGUAAAUCUUCCAUUUCCUUCAAAGUUGAAGGUGCACUGCACAUUCAUCUUUCACUUAUUUUAUUUCUCAUUUAAUGCCCAACCGCUGGUUUCAUUUUCCCUCUCUCUUCCCUCUCUCCUUUUUCCUCCCCGCGUUUUCUCUCCCCCGUGCCUCUCUUUUUCAUUUCUCUCCAUCGACGGAAACGAAAUCACUCGGAUUCUUCACGCAGAACCGAUUUCAUCAAAGAAGAAGGGUGUGUAUCUCUCAGAUUUUCACGCGAGCUUCAUCUCCUUUCCAACCCCAGAAACAUCUUCGCAUACUCUGGGUUGGCUCAAAUCAGAUUCGCGGCUUCAGGUGCUUCCAGUCUUUCCUUCGGCUCAAGCCCCUACACUGAUUCUGGUAUUGUUAGAAAAUUUUGUUGUUACUCUGUCUCGCCUCUGCUUCUCUCGUCUUUUGUCCGUUUCCAUUUCCGUUUCCUUUCCUGUUUUCCUAAUUUUCUGUAUCGCAAUCUCCGUAAAUUGUAAUCACCUUUUUAGAUUCUAAACCCCCUUACUUAAUUAACCCGGUUUCUCGUUUGUUUCUCGGGAAAAUCUUUUUCUGGACCUCUAUUUUUCUUUUGCUGCUUCUCUUUCCGGUUGUGCUGUUGUUGCAUUCUGUUUUGUCCUUUCGGAAGGCUCUGGUCCUACCCCUAUCUACCAUUCCUCCAGCUCCUGUUGCUAGAUUUUUCCAAAUUUAGGAGGAAUUCAUAGAGUACUCUUGCACUUGGUGGCUGCUUUAUAGAGUACUCUUGCACUUGGUGGCACCAACUAAAGUCAUUACAAAUGAAAAGGUUAUGAGAAACAAUUUGCUCAACUUCAAAGACCUGGAUAAUUUGAAGCUUGCAGAGGGUUUGGCUAAAAUAUGUUUUGAGAUGCAUUUGUAGAAGUCACAAGCUUUUGUAAACUAGAUUAUUAAUUCAAGGAGGCAUUUCAUCUUGGGAGUGCUUUUGUUGAUACUCCCUUACGUGCUUACUUUCUUAGCUAGGCCCUUAAAAUCCUUGUGAGAUUUGAUUACACUUGCAAUUUUAUUGGAAGUGAUAUUGUAGAGUAAUUUGGGUGGUUUAGCCA
This is a long non-coding RNA of Carya illinoinensis, 1173 nucleotides long. RefSeq lists it as uncharacterized. Lineage: Eukaryota; Viridiplantae; Streptophyta; Magnoliopsida; Fagales; Juglandaceae. The record is from RefSeq and is a predicted model, not a curated record. The transcript has 4 exons.